RNAcentral lists this ribosomal RNA (433 nucleotides) under uncultured bacterium. Its description in RNAcentral is "partial 16S ribosomal RNA". It matches the Rfam family "Bacterial small subunit ribosomal RNA", at positions 29 to 507 of the family's 1533-position model. The record is from RNAcentral.
AACGAACGCUGGCGGCAUGCCUAACACAUGCAAGUCGAACGAGACCUUCGGGUCUAGUGGCGUACGGGUGCGUAACGCGUGGGAACCUGCCCUUAGGUUCGGAAUAACUCCCCGAAAGGGGUGCUAAUACCGGAUAAUGUCUUCGGACCAAAGAUUUAUCGCCUUUGGAUGGGCCCGCGUUGGAUUAGCUAGUUGGUAGGGUAAAAGCCCACCAAGGCGACGAUCCAUAGCUGGUCUGAGAGGAUGAUCAGCCACACUGGGACUGAGACACGGCCCAGACUCCUACGGGAGGCAGCAGUGGGGAAUAUUGGACAAUGGGCGAAAGCCUGAUCCAGCAAUGCCGCGUGAGUGAUGAAGGCCUUAGGGCUGUAAAGCUCUUUUACCCGGGAUGAUAAUGACAGUACCGGGAGAAUAAGCUCCGGCUAACUCCGUG